AACGAACGCUGGCGGCAUGCCUAAUACAUGCAAGUCGAACGAGAUCUUCGGAUCUAGUGGCGCACGGGUGCGUAACGCGUGGGAAUCUGCCCUUGGGUUCGGAAUAACUUCUGGAAACGGAAGCUAAUACCGGAUGAUGACGUAAGUCCAAAGAUUUAUCGCCCAAGGACGAGCCCGCGUAGGAUUAGCUAGUUGGUGGGGUAAAGGCCCACCAAGGCGACGAUCCUUAGCUGGUCUGAGAGGAUGAUCAGCCACACUGGGACUGAGACACGGCCCAGACUCCUACGGGAGGCAGCAGUAGGGAAUAUUGGACAAUGGGGGAAACCCUGAUCCAGCAAUGCCGCGUGAGUGAUGAAGGCCUUAGGGUUGUAAAGCUCUUUUACCCGGGAUGAUAAUGACAGUACCGGGAGAAUAAGCUCCGGCUAACUCCGUG
RNAcentral lists this ribosomal RNA (433 nucleotides) under uncultured bacterium. RNAcentral's name for it is "partial 16S ribosomal RNA". It matches the Rfam family "Bacterial small subunit ribosomal RNA", at positions 29 to 507 of the family's 1533-position model. The record is from RNAcentral.